This 275-nucleotide ribosomal RNA is filed under the name Providencia rettgeri. RNAcentral describes it as "partial 16S ribosomal RNA". It matches the Rfam family "Bacterial small subunit ribosomal RNA", at positions 74 to 350 of the family's 1533-position model. The record is from RNAcentral. Lineage: Bacteria; Pseudomonadati; Pseudomonadota; Gammaproteobacteria; Enterobacterales; Morganellaceae.
GUAAGCUUGCUUCUCGCUGACGAGCGGCGGACGGGUGAGUAAUGUAUGGGGAUCUGCCCGAUAGAGGGGGAUAACUACUGGAAACGGUAGCUAAUACCGCAUAAUCUCUUAGGAGCAAAGCAGGGGAACUUCGGUCCUUGCGCUAUCGGAUGAACCCAUAUGGGAUUAGCUAGUAGGUGAGGUAAUGGCUCACCUAGGCGACGAUCCCUAGCUGGUCUGAGAGGAUGAUCAGCCACACUGGGACUGAGACACGGCCCAGACUCCUACGGGAGGCA